CAGAGUUCAUGCCCUCACGGGUAGACCUCCCACCCUUGUAAUCUCAUACCAGUCUUCUACUUUGGCAGGCUGCUGACUCCGGUCAGCGAAUGCCAGAAGAACCAAACUCAUGAUAUUUUUGCUGUCUGAGUCAUUAUUUAAUAAAAUA
This 148-nucleotide unclassified non-coding RNA is filed under the name uncultured Meliniomyces. Its description in RNAcentral is "sequence contains ITS1". The record is from RNAcentral. Lineage: Eukaryota; Fungi; Ascomycota; Leotiomycetes; Helotiales; Helotiaceae.